GCUGAGGUGCACCCGUGACCAGCUCGGAAACCGGAUUGCACAGCGGAGAAGGAACUAGCCUUCCCCCUGACCUGCUCGGCGUGAUGAGCUGAGUUAAGGUGAAUGGUGAAAUGAAGGGGCGUGAAGAGGCAGAAGGAGACUGAGAGCCUUGCCUUUCAUCAGCAGCUGCUGACUCAGUUUCUGAAAGCAAAAUGUCACCCCUCCAGCCUGCUUGGCCAGCAGCUAAUCCGUUUGGAGAAUCGAUUCCAUUUUAACGGUGUGCUGUGGAGUGGCCUGAUGUAUGGCUGGAGUUGUGUGUGUGUGUGUGUGUGUGUGUGUGCACAGAGGGCCUAGUGGAGUGUGUGUUUUCUGUUGUUGCCUUAACAAUAUUUUUUGUGUGUGAAACCAAAGUUAGAAAUAAUAAACAUUUGUUCAUAGUA
Long non-coding RNA from Salvelinus namaycush (lake trout), 419 nucleotides. RefSeq lists it as uncharacterized. The transcript is spliced from 2 exons. NCBI's taxonomy places the organism in Eukaryota, Metazoa, Chordata, Actinopteri, Salmoniformes, Salmonidae. The record is from RefSeq and is a predicted model, not a curated record.